This is a long non-coding RNA of Strigops habroptila (Kakapo), 3248 nucleotides long. RefSeq lists it as uncharacterized. NCBI's taxonomy places the organism in Eukaryota, Metazoa, Chordata, Aves, Psittaciformes, Psittacidae. The record is from RefSeq and is a predicted model, not a curated record. The transcript has 2 exons.
UUCUGACAUUUCCCGACUUCAGCGCGUAGGUUUGCAAUAUCUUAUUUAGCAUAUUGGUUUUAUAUGGAAUUACAUCUUCCUGGUAGUUGUUUCCCAUGUAAAUAACUGAAGGCUUUCACUGGGAGGUGAAGCUGUAGUUGAUGGUUUGUAUCAUGCCGUGGUCGCUGCCUGCAGCAGCAUCUACCUUCACUAUCUUUAGUGUGUUUCUGCAAGGCUCCUUUCCUAAAACAGCUUUUGCUUGAUCUGGAAGUUUGCAAAAGUUAGGCACGAGCACCUUAACUCCACUUGUGAGGUUUUUUCCUGCGGUGCUCUAAUGAUCUUGACAAAUACAUUAACCUCUGGUCUGAAAUCCUACUGCUACUCCCUUUAACUGCUAUGGCCGCAGCUGCUUGAGAUAUGCUGCAUCUUCUGUUCCUUCCAGAAUUCAUUCAAAUAUGUGCCUUCAUACAUCUUAGCAUGUCAAUGUCUCCUCAUUCAUAGCCACCCCAGUCCGUCAGAAGGCCCCACUGUGGAGUGAUCCAUUAUCCCUUGACAAUAAAGCUUUUUUUCUUCUAUUUCCAGAUGCUUGCUGUACAGUCUCUUGAUUACACCUUACUGACAUCCCCCCAAGCACCAGGCUUGCUGUUUGAUCAGAAGUCAAGAGGGAAGAGUUACUGGUUCCAGUUGCACAGCCGGUUAGCCAGACUGCAGCCCGAGGACUCCUUUGAGGCAGAGCUACCCUGCAGGGUCAGAGCUUCAGAUGCAGCUCCUGCCUAGUCUGAUGGAGUGAAAGCUGUCAAGGAUGACCAACAGCCUAAUAAACUCCUCUUUGUAUUUAACAGACAUCCAACUACGUGUUUGAGUGGGAUAAUGCUUGUGAUGUAUUUAUUUUCACUUGUAUAUAGUGCUUUCCUUUCCAUGAUGUGUUCUUGAGCACUUCAGAAACACAGCGUUAUUUUUCUCAGACAUUUUAGAGAGCAAUAAAUGUGAAUAAACAUUUUAAAUUUUCUGAAACCAAGUAAAAUAUUAUUUAAAAGGUUCUCUCAACUCUAAAAAUGAAGUGAUGCUUAUAGUUCUGAUUGCAUACAUAAAUAAAUCUGUCAUCAGCAAAUGCAAAACAAAUUAUUAUAGAGAAUCUGGUUUAAACACAACCUGUCAUAGCAAAUCUAAUUACAAACUGGUGUGUACCUAGGUUAUUUUCUACCUUCACCAGCACGUAUCUGAUCAAGAAGGAAACCAACCGGGCAGACCAGGAAAUUGUGGAAGGCCUGUGAGCUCCUUUGAGUGCUGUGUUCAAAUACAUGUCUAACCCAAUUAAACCCAAAUAAGUGGUCAAAAGGCUUUGGCAUGCUUUGCCAACAGCUUGCUUCUGUGACACAACUUAGGGUAUCUAUUUCAGUGAAGCAGUGCAGUUACUGAGAUAGACAGACACGUUAUCAGUUGCUUUUCAACCUAUUUAAAUACAUUGCCAUUACCUGCACUUAAUGUUGGGUCUUUUGCCUUAACAAGGUGACAUUAAAGCCUCAAGUCUGGAAAGAACAUAAACGUGUUUUAAGAAAAUUAUUAGUUCUGUGAUCAAAAUAAAGGGUUAUUAUGUUGGGGAGAAGAGGUGAUACUUGCUAAAAACAUGACAGCAGAUAAUGAAAAGCAGGAGGAAAAAUACCCCUUUGUUUCAAACUGCUAGGAAGAGUUUGGACAAACACAGUAUCUUCAGUUUGAAAGCUAUAUUAGGAAACAGCUAAGCCAUACAAUCGGUCAGUUUAAAUAUGCCAUGGUUUGGACUAUAUCCAUCUUCAUAUCAAGUUCAGGAGUCACGUGGAUGAGUUCAUCCUACAGUCGUGGACUAGAAAUUCUCUGUGCUGUUACACAUACCUACUUUAACUGUUAAAUUUGGGUUCUCUAAAUAGAUCUCUUAAAAAACGAAUGUUGUACUACAAAAGGCCGUACAAGCCCUGGAAACAGCAUUACCAGGUUUAGGCACAGGACACACACUGCACAGCUGCCCUACGUUGCCCCUCUUGACUGGGGGUGGGAAGGAUUGCAAGUCUUUGUGCUGAUUUAAAACUAAAGCUACAUCUGCCAAAAUCAUCGUCAUUAUAUUAGCUGCAUUAUUUGUGUGGGGACACUGAAGAUGUAGCUUUCAUGGUAGCUGCUGUAGGAGUAUGGCAUUUGCUUUCAGAGUACCUCAGCAUGACCCUGAGCCUCCCCAUCAUCCCAACAAAAUACAGGCAUUAAGGAUAUAAAACAAUUUUCCCAGCAUUAUUUAAGAAGACCUCAAGCCUCUGUGCGGGGGUGACAAGGGAGAGAAAUAAGACAUGUAAGAUGUUUUAUAAAGAUAUAUUUUAACUUCUAAGGCACUCAGGAACCAUGGUGAUGAAUCUGACACAAACUUAAAUUGCUUAGAUAUGAGCUCUGAUCCACCGGGAACUAUCCUGACAUUCAUAAAGAGCAUCAGAUGCUGAUAACUUCUAGUCAGUACCUACCUGGGCUUGAUUUAACUGGUGACAUACAGCUGAAAUCCCUUGAGACUGAUUUUCAUUUACAUGACAAGCACUGCUUUGACAGUGUAAAGUGACCUCAAGGAGAAUGAAGAUCUCGCUGUAAUCUUACGCAAUUGGGAAGUUAAAAACAGUCUCUCACCCAAAUUGCUGGGCAACUGAUGGCAAAACAAAUUCACUUUUCCCCUCCAGCACUUCCUUUUUUCCCCAUUCAGCAUUCUGGCUGAUUUUGCAGGAAGCUUAUGGUGGCUUAUACACCAUAGAGUUAAAACUAGUAAACAGAUUGCUGUUUGCUUUGUGCAUGCCAAAGGGAGCACGAAAGAUUAUUAGUUGCAGAACUCUACUGUCAGUAACAACCUUGAUCUUGCACUGGGUAUCAUUCUGUCACUGUCAGAAUCUGUCACUGUUGUAGGAAAUGUCUUGUAUUAUCUAUCAUAUUCUUGUUAGAUGUGCUGUUCACAAAUAGAGUUUGUAAUUUCAAGUUGUAAUUUCAAGUAAUUUUUACGUUCCUUAGUUUUGUACAAGUAGUUUACAAUUAUACUCGAAGUAUUUUAAAAGGGAUCCAUUUUAUAGCAAUCUGAAAAGCUUACAAUUGUAACAAUUUUAAUUAAUAUACUGACAUUUUGUUGCUGUCUAUAUAAAAGUUGCUUUUAUUUUUCAGCUGCAGUAGCAGCAGUAUCAAGGCACUGUCCUGCACUUCAGUAAUGGAAAUUUCCCAGCCUCAAAGCACACUCUGUCUUAGUCAGCUGCAAUAAAACUGAGUGAUUUCAA